AAGGGUAAAAGCUCGUUU
Molecule: small nuclear RNA, 18 nt
Filed under: Arabidopsis thaliana (thale cress)
Lineage: Eukaryota; Viridiplantae; Streptophyta; Magnoliopsida; Brassicales; Brassicaceae
Description: snRNA_09703
Source: RNAcentral